GUUCUUUAAAGACAGGAUGGACUGG
Molecule: non-coding RNA, 25 nt
Filed under: Cricetulus griseus (Chinese hamster)
Lineage: Eukaryota; Metazoa; Chordata; Mammalia; Rodentia; Cricetidae
Source: RNAcentral